UAUAUGCUUGUCUCAAAGAUUAAGCCAUGCAUGUCUGAGUACAGACCGAUCUAAGGUGAAACCGCGAAUGGCUCAUUAAAUCAGUCAUAAUUCCUUGGGUAGUGAAAAACUUUCCUCGGAUAACUGUGGAAAAUCCAGAGCUAAUACGUGCAACUGAGCUCCGACCUCGGCGUAAGCCGUGGGAAGAGCGCAUUUAUUAAUUUCAAAACUGACCGGUGUACUCCUUCGGGAUAUGCCGUUUGUCAAAAUGUUUGAUGACUCCGGAUAACUAAGCCGAGCGCUACGGUCUCUUGUACCGGCGCCGUAUCUUUCAAGUGUCUGCCUUAUCAGCUUUCGAUUGUAGGUUAAACGCCUACAAUGGCUGUAACGGGUAACGGGGAAUCAGGGUUCGAUUCCGGAGAGGGAGCCUGAGAAACGGCUACCACAUCUAAGGAAGGCAGCAGGCACGCAAAUUACCCACUCCUAGCCCAGGGAGGUAGUGACGAAAAAUAACGAUGCGAGACUCUUCCGAGGCCUCGCAAUCGGAAUGAGUCUAUUAUAAAUGUAUGGACGAGGAUCCAUUGGAGGGCAAGUCUGGUGCCAGCAGCCGCGGUAAUUCCAGCUCCAAUAGCGUAUAUUAAAGUUGCUGCGGUUAAAAAGCUCGUAGUUGGAUCUACUAAACCUAUUCGUGGGUGAGUCGCUCUUUGUACUAACGAAUCGCGCGGUUCCUUGACGAAGUUGUUUGUCAGUGUUAACGUUUCUCGGUCCUUCGGGCCCGAGAGCCUAACCGACUCGAACCGAGUCUCUGUGGACGGUGAAUCGUGGUUAUAAGGGUAUAGCUCGCUCGCGUUUGGUACAAUUAAAAUUUUGUCGGCUCGCUCGGAGUGCUCUUUACCGAGUGUUCCAGGGUGGCCGACACGUUCACUUUGAAAAAAUUAGAGUGCUUAAAGCGGGCCUUUCGAAAGGGCUUAAAUGUCUGUGCAUGGAAUGAAGUAACAGGACCUCGAUUCUGUUGUUUUUGUCGGUUUUAAUGAACCGAGGUAAUGAUUAAAAGGGACAGACGGUGGCAUUAGUAUUGCGACGCUAGAGGUGAAAUUCUUGGACCGUCGCAAGACUAACUACUGCGAAGGCAUUUGCCGAGAAUGUUUUCGUUAAUCAAGAACGAAAGUUAGAGGAUCGAAGGCGAUCAGAUACCGCCCUAGUUCUAACCCUAAACUAUGCUAACUAGCGAUCCGCCGGAGUCAUUCCCACGACCCGGCGGGAAGCCCCAGGGAAACCAAAGUCUUUGAGUUCCGGGGGAAGUAUGGUUGCAAAGCUGAAACUUAAAGGAAUUGACGGAAGGGCACCACCAGGAGUGGAGCCUGCGGCUUAAUUUGACUCAACACGGGAAACCUCACCAGGCCCGGACAUCAGAAGGACUGACAGGUUGAGAGCUCUUUCUCGAUUCGAUGGGUGGUGGUGCAUGGCCGUUCUUAGUUGGUGGAGUGAUCUGUCUGGUUGAUUCCGAUAACGAACGAGACUCUACCUUACUAACUAGUCGGCGGAUCGUAACCCUGAGAUGGUUAGUGUGUAUACGAGAGUGUCAUUGCCUAGGCAUUAUUUUCUCCAUCGAGGGGGGUCGUAAAACUAGACUAGUCGUUUUAUACGAUGAAAAUGGUUCGCUGCGUCUCUUUUUGGUCGGGAGAUUUUUUGUCGAAGCUGCUCUCUGAUUACUACUGCUGCUGGGGGCGUCCGUCGCAAUAUAUCUUCUUAGAAGGAUCAGCGGCGUAUAGCCGUACGAGAAAGAGCAAUAACAGGUCUGUGAUGCCCUUAGAUGUUCUGGGCCGCACGCGCGCUACAAUGUAAGGACCAGCGUGUUUUCCCCCUCCGAAAGGAACGGGUAACCCGUGGAAAGCCCUACACGAUUGGGAUUGGGGAUUGCAAAUAUUUCCCAUAAACGAGGAAUUCCCAGUAAGCGCAAGUCAUUAACUAGCGUUGAUUACGUCCCUGCCCUUUGUACACACCGCCCGUCGCUACUACCGAUUGAAUGAUUCAGUGAGGGCAUCGGACUGGCGCCUUCGGUUUUGAAACAUAGACCUUAGGCUGACGGAAAGAUGUCCGAACUCGAUCAUUUAGAGGAAGUAAAAGUCGUAACAAGGUUUC
Molecule: ribosomal RNA, 2121 nt
Filed under: Austroniscus sp.
Lineage: Eukaryota; Metazoa; Arthropoda; Malacostraca; Isopoda; Nannoniscidae
Also listed under: 1 other name
Description: SSU rRNA
Rfam family: Eukaryotic small subunit ribosomal RNA
Source: RNAcentral